GCAGUCAGCUUGGUGAUUCAAAAGUUACUCUUGACAAGAAGUCUACCCCUGAGGCACCACCCAGCAUCCAUGUGGUCGAUUCUGAAGCAUCGCCAAACAAAGGUGUGGUUUGUUCUGAAAUGCAGACAAGUAAUGAUGUGGUUGUAUCUGAAACACAGCACAGCAAUGAGGAUGCGGUACCUGAAGCACAGCACAACAAUGAAGGGGUAGCUUUAUCUGAAACACAACACAUAGAUGAGGAGGUUGCAUCGGAAAAACAGCACAACAAUGAAGGGGUAGCUUUAUCUCAAACACAAC
This 297-nucleotide long non-coding RNA is filed under the name Medicago truncatula (barrel medic). RNAcentral describes it as "long non-coding RNA (MTRU_LNC005584)". The record is from RNAcentral. Lineage: Eukaryota; Viridiplantae; Streptophyta; Magnoliopsida; Fabales; Fabaceae.